This 114-nucleotide ribosomal RNA is filed under the name Ixodes scapularis (black-legged tick). Lineage: Eukaryota; Metazoa; Arthropoda; Arachnida; Ixodida; Ixodidae. The record is from RNAcentral.
CGCCACGGCCAUACCACGCUGAAUGCGCCGGUUCUCGUCCGAUCACCGAAGCUAAGCAAACAUCGGGCUACCGUCAGUACUUGGGGGGGAGGGAACACGGAGUGCUGAUGGCAC